Molecule: long non-coding RNA, 1102 nt
Organism: Cyprinus carpio carpio
Lineage: Eukaryota; Metazoa; Chordata; Actinopteri; Cypriniformes; Cyprinidae
Source: Ensembl
AUAGUUAGUAUUAUUUUUUUUCUGUCAUUGCUUUAAUGUCUUAACUUAGAUUUCAUAUUUAUUGGCCCUCUUUUCUAAGGAGUGUAUGUUCUUCUGUUUGUAAUGUAGGUUGGAUUUUACAUAGUUAUUUUUGAACAAGAAAAUGCAAUUGCUGUGGCGCCUGCAUUAUGGGUAGAGGAGGUGAAUGGGGUAAGGGUACAUGCACGUGCAGACAUACACACACACACACAUACAUAAUUAAUACCGGAAAUAAAUAAGAUGUGAUUAACUUUUCCCUGAAAUGUUUUAGGUUCUGAUUUGCUACUGGCCCCGUAGAAACGCUGCUGCCAUGGCAAAGGCCUCCCAAAGGCCAGAUAAGGAGCUCUGGAAGCGGCACAAAAUAAGAAUACUCUCCGAGACUGGUGAGAAAACUGAAUAAAUAUAUAGUCAUAUGGAGGUACACUCCCUUUUAAAAUAGUAAAAUGAUUACAAAAACUAAAAAGACAACUCAAAUUUACUCUGUCCUUAGACAACUAUAAGACAGCCAGAGAGCGAGCCAAAAAAGCUGUAGAAAGUUCAAACGUGGACACAGAAGAAGAGGUGCUAAAAGAGCGGAAAAAAAAGGUACCAUCAAAAUACUGGACAGAGAGUGAAGGUAAACACACGCGAUUGCUUUUUGUCAUGCAUUACUCCGCUGUUUAUGUAUAAAAAUCAUGCCAUAUGCCAUGCAGAGAAAACUACUGUAUAAAACUAAACUAUAUAUAAACUGUUUCAUCCUGAAUUAAUAGGAGAAUGUGAGAUUCCUACCAAAAAAAGGAGAAAAAUGUCCACAUCCUCUCAAAAGCCAUCAAGCCUCCCAAAGCCUCCAAGUUAUUUCCAGCAUCUCAUCGAGCAAUCUGAGCAGCGGAUGCUCCUCGCAAUAGAGAGAAUGUCGACAGAUAUUUCAAAUUCUAUUGAGCGUCUGGUCCAGACUAUUCAACAGAAUCAUCCUGGUCCGGCAACCAUCACAACACCACCACAGGAGACCAUUGAGAGGCCCUGCAAAACAGUGCAGGAGCUGCAAGCUUUCAUAUUAAAACUUGAGGGCCCAGAAGGGAAAAAAAAGGAUGGUAUGUUGAUAUAG